Long non-coding RNA from Phasianus colchicus (ring-necked pheasant), 1991 nucleotides. The record is from Ensembl. Lineage: Eukaryota; Metazoa; Chordata; Aves; Galliformes; Phasianidae.
GGGGUCGUCCUGCCCCACAUGGGGGGGUUCUACGUCUUCGGGGGUGAGUGCGGUUAUGGGGUGGGCAUGGGGUCGCUAUGGGGUCCUUAUGGGGUGGGUAUGGGGUCCUUAUGGGGCUGGGUGGUUAUGGGGCGGUUAUGGGGUGGUUAUGGGGUGGUUAUAGGGCUGGGGGGCUAUGGGGUGGCUAUGGGGUCUCUAUGGGUUGCUGUGUGUUCCUAUGGGAUUUACGGGAUCUGUGGGUCACUCUAUGGCAUCUAUGGGGCACCGCGUGUUCCUAUGGGGUCUGUGGGUCUCUAUGGGGUCUAUGGGGUGCUGUGUGUUCCUAUGGGGUCUAUGGGUCUCUAUGGGGUCUGUGGGUCAGUCUAUGGGAUCUAUGGGGUGUGUGGGUCUGUAUGGGGUGCCAUGUGUUCCUAUGGGAUCUGUGGGUCUCUAUGGGGUGCUGUGUGUUCCUAUGGGAUUUAUGGGAUCUGUGGGUCACCCUAUGGGAUCUAUGGGGUCUGUGGGUCUCUAUGGGGCGCCAUGUGUUGCUAUGGGAUUUAUGGGAUCUGUGGGUCACCCUAUGGGAUCUACGGGAUCUGUGGGUCUCUAUGGGGUGCCAUGUGUUCCUAUGGGAUCUGUGGGUCUCUAUGGGGUGCUGUGUGUUCCUAUGGGAUUUAUGGGGUGUGUGGGUCACCCUAUGGGAUCUAUGGGGUGUGUGGGUCUCUAUGGGGUGUGUGGGUCUGUAUGGGGCACCGUGUGUUCCUAUGGGAUCUGUGGGUCUCUAUGGGGUCUCUAUGGGGUCUGUAUGGGGCGCUGCGUGUUCCUAUGGGAUUUAUGGGAUCUGUGGGUCGCUCUCUGGGAUCUAUGGGGUCUGUGGGUCUCUAUGGGGCGCCAUGUGUUUCUAUGGGGUGUGUGUGUCUGUAUGGGGUGUGUGGGUCAGUCUGUGGGAUCUAUGGGGUCUGUGGGUCUCUAUGGGGUCUCUGUGGGUUGCUGUGUGUUGCUAUGGGAUUUAUGGGAUCUGUGGGUCGCUCUCUGGGAUCUAUGGGGUCUGUGGGUCUCUAUGGGAUCUAUGGGGCUGUGUGUGUUCCUAUGGGGUCUGUGGGUCUCUAUGGGGCGCCAUGUGUUUCUAUGGGGUGUGUGUGUCUGUAUGGGGUGUGUGGGUCACCCUAUGGGAUCAGUGGGGUCUGUGGGUCCGUUUUUAGGGCAGGCCCUGGGCGCCCCAUUGGGGGAUCUGGUGAUGUUCAACUUCAGCACCAAUUCCUGGAGCCGCAUCCUGCAGCGCCCCGCGCCGGUCAGCGCCCGCCCUGACCUCUGACCUCUGACCCCAGCCCUGACCUCUGACCCCCAGCAAUGUCAUCUGACCCCUGCCCUGACCUCUGAACUCACAUCUGACCUCUGACCCCCAGCCCUGACCUCUGACCCUCAGCCCUGACCUCUGACCCCCAGCCCUGACCUCUGACCCUCAGCAAUGUCCUCUGACCCCCAGCCCUGACCUCUGACAACCAGCCCUGGCCUCUGACCCCAGCCCUGACCUCUGACCCUCAGCAAUGUCCUCUGACCCUCAGCCCUGACCUCUGACCCUCACCUCUGACCUCUGAAACCCAGCCCUGACCUCUGACCUCACGUCUAACCUCUGACCCCAGCCCGGACCUCUGACCCUCAGCAAUGUCCUAUGACCCUCAGCCCUGACCUCUGACCUCACCUCAGACCUCUGACCCCCANNNNNNNNNNNNNNNNNNNNNNNNNNNNNNNNNNNNNNNNNNNNNNNNCCUCAGCCCUGACUUCUGACCCCCAGCCCUGACCUCUGACCUCACAUCUGACCUUUGACCCCCAGCCCUAACCCUGGGCCCCCCUCCCCCCAUCCCUGACCCUUGACCCCCGUGACUCCCUGACCUUUGACCUCUGACUCCAGCUCUGACCUCCAACCCCCAUCCUUGGUCUCAGACCCCCGUCCCUGACCUCUAACUCCCCAUCCCUGACCCCUGACCCCCAUCCCUGACCCUUGACCCCCC